Molecule: ribosomal RNA, 253 nt
Filed under: uncultured bacterium
Lineage: Bacteria
Description: partial 16S ribosomal RNA
Rfam family: Bacterial small subunit ribosomal RNA
Source: RNAcentral
UACGGGGGGGGCAAGCGUUGUUCGGAAUUACUGGGCGUAAAGGGCUCGUAGGCGGCCAACUAAGUCAGACGUGAAAUCCCUCGGCUUAACCGGGGAACUGCGUCUGAUACUGGAUGGCUUGAAUCCGGGAGAGGGAUGCGGAAUUCCAGGUGUAGCGGUGAAAUGCGUAGAUAUCUGGAGGAACACCGGUGGCGAAGGCGGCAUCCUGGACCGGCAUUGACGCUGAGGAGCGAAAGCCAGGAGAGCAAACGGG